ACAGCCACCGCUCAAAAAAGAAAGUAAGAAGAAUUACAGCCACCACACGACCUGUUCUCCCCCAAAUCGAACCCUCCCUAGACCUCCUCCUCAACCGCCGCCGCCGCCCCCUCUGCCGUUGACCACGCCCUCCGCCACCACCCCUUUGGCUGACCUGUGCGACCCCAUCGGGAUCUAUGGCGGCGGUGCUUGGAUCUCGGCGCCGCCUCCCUCGAUACGCCUCUGAUGUGCGAGGUUGUCGUCGCCUCCCUCCCUUCGACACCACCACCAGAACUGGUCGACGAUGCCGGUCGCCUCCAUCUCUUCCUUACGGUCCAUCACGCCGACGAGCAUAGGCGGACUCCCCACCGUGGCUUCCUCCCCGCCAACGGCGAGCGUGGUGUCCCAUCUCCACUAUACUGGUACAAUACUUUCCUCAGAUCCGUCUUGGUGGAAAUCCGAUGCAGGUGAGAUCUUCCUAGGUUGUUAAUCUUUUCUUCUCUGGUCGAUGAGAACUCAUGGUGCGCAUUGUCCAGUUGUCCGUACGAAGGCAGAUUUCCCCUUCCACCGAGUUACUACUGAGUGUGUUCCUUAUUGUUGUUUUCCUUUUCCUACCAAAUUGAUGCAGGUGCUAUUAGUGAAAGGAUUGGAGAGUGGUUCUAGCAGUGGUUGGUUUGUUCGAGGAAUUCCUGGUGCUCGUGAUUUGUAAAGGGUUUCAGCCAGUAACUACAUUGUCACAGGAAAUUAGAUAUUUUGAGAAGCUUCUACAAGAUCUUGAUAUCAUUUGUGUUCUAUCCCUUGAUCCUGUGCUUGAGAAGGAGCUUCCCUAAAUUGCACAACUCCGAAAACUUGGCAAGUAAUUAUCAGCUGAGCAAAGGCUACAACAUGCUAGGAGGAGAAGUUUGAAUGGAGGCAGAGAGUACACUUGGUAAGUCAUAUAUCCAACCUGAACUUAUUUACUCAUUUUUUAUUUUUGUUCUAGUUUGAGUCCAAAAAGAUGGUUUGACAAAUGAGGUUGACAUUCUGUACACAUGUGCGCAUCUACCAUUCAUGCUUGUGAAGCAUUUUUAAAAAUAAAAUUGAAUAUGGCCAAAUUUGGGUUCCAAGUUUUGCCAUGCAGUCAUGACUUCGUAUUAGUUUGCCCCCUUCAACAUGUAAUACUAUGAGCCUGACCAUAUUUUAUUUGGAACAUUUAGAUGAUGUGCCAGAAGGAAAACAAAAGGCAACGAUGAGAAGGAAAACAAACGGCAAUCUACUUACAUCUGACGUGUUAAUUCGAAUGUGCCAAAAAUUUCUCUUUUCAGGAAAUAGAAUGGAAAAAGGAAGAGGAGAGAAUGCUGAAGCACAAGAGCGAGAGGCUAGCGGAAGUUAAAGCAAUAAACUAUAAGCAUUUUGAAUGAUUAGGGCCUCGUGUCGUUGGGAACAUUACAACCAUGGGGAAAGCUAAUUUUGGUUGCUAGUUUAGCAUAGAAGCCACUAUAUGCUCAUUUUGGUCGUGUGUCGCAUCAAAAAACAUAUGUAAUUUUCCUUUUGUUGCACAACACCCUUGUAUAUGGGCGUUUCUAGAAGCAUAUGUAUUUGGUCGUUAAUUUUAUUGAGUGAAGAUAAGUUUUA
This is a long non-coding RNA of Triticum aestivum (bread wheat), 1593 nucleotides long. RefSeq lists it as uncharacterized. The transcript is spliced from 3 exons. The record is from RefSeq and is a predicted model, not a curated record. Lineage: Eukaryota; Viridiplantae; Streptophyta; Magnoliopsida; Poales; Poaceae.